GAGUUUGAUCCUGGCUCAGGAUGAACGCUAGCGGCAGGCUUAAUACGUGCAAGUCGUGGGGCAGCAGGGGUGUAGCAAUACACUCGCUGGCGACCGGCAAACGGGUGCGGAACACGUACGCAAUCUACCCAUAACUGGUGAAUAGCCCUCCGAAAGGAGGAUUAAUACACCGUAACAUACUGAAGUGGCAUCACUUUAUUAUUAUAGCUCCGGCGGUUUUGGAUGAGCGUGCGCCUGAUUAGAUAGUUGGCGGGGUAACGGCCCACCAAGUCUGCGAUCAGUAACUGGUGUGAGAGCACGACCAGUCACACGGGCACUGAGACACGGCCCAGACUCCUACGGGAGGCAGCAGUGGGGAAUAUUGGACAAUGGGCGAAAGCCUGAUCCAGCAAUGCCGCGUGAGUGAUGAAGGCCUUAGGGUUGUAGAAGCUCUUUUACCCGGGAUGAUAAUGACAGUACCGGGAGAAUAAGCCCCGGCUAACUCCGUGCCAGCAGCCGCGGUAAUACGGAGGGGGCUAGCGUCGUUCGGAAUUACUGGGCGUAAAGCGCGCGUAUGCUGCUUUGUAAGUUAGAGGUGAAAGCCCGGAGCUCAACUCCGGAAUUGCCUUGACGACUGCAUCGCUAUAGUCAUGUAGAGGUCAGUGGAAUUCCGAGUGUGAAGGUGACAUUCGUAGAUAUUCGGACGACACCANUGGCGAAGGCGACUACCUGUACAUGUAUGGACGCUGAGGUGCGAUGCGUCGGAGCCACUGGAUGGAUACCUGGUAUCAAGCGANUCAGCCCUGCGCGUACUAUGAUCCACU
RNAcentral lists this ribosomal RNA (803 nucleotides) under uncultured bacterium. RNAcentral describes it as "bacterial SSU rRNA". It matches the Rfam family "Bacterial small subunit ribosomal RNA", at positions 9 to 873 of the family's 1533-position model. The record is from RNAcentral.